This 460-nucleotide ribosomal RNA is filed under the name uncultured bacterium. Its description in RNAcentral is "partial 16S ribosomal RNA". It matches the Rfam family "Bacterial small subunit ribosomal RNA", at positions 338 to 795 of the family's 1533-position model. The record is from RNAcentral.
CCUACGGGUGGCAGCAGUGAGGAAUAUUGGUCAAUGGACGAGAGUCUGAACCAGCCAAGUCGCGUGAAGGAUGACUGCCCUAUGGGUUGUACACUUCUUUUAUAUGGGAAUAAAAUGUUCCACGUGUGGGAUUUUGUAUGUACCAUAUGAAUAAGAAUCGGCUAACUCCGUUCCAGCAGCCGCGGUAAUACGGAGGAUCCGAUCGGUAUUCGGAUUUAUUGUGUUUAAAGGGAUCGUAGGUGGAUGGUUAAGUCAGUGGUGAAAGUUUGCGGCCCAACCGUAAAAGUGCAGUUGAGACUGGCAGUCUUGAGUACAGGAGAGGUGGGCGGAAUUCGGGGUGUAGCGGUGAAAUGCUUAGAUAUCACGAAGAACUCCGAUUGCGAAGGCAGCUCACUGGACUGCAACUGACACUGAGGCUCGAAAGUGUGGGUAUCAAACAGGAUUAGAUACCCGGGUAGUC